Molecule: ribosomal RNA, 361 nt
Filed under: uncultured Chaetoceros
Lineage: Eukaryota; Bacillariophyta; Thalassiosirophyceae; Chaetocerotales; Chaetocerotaceae
Description: partial Bacterial small subunit ribosomal RNA
Rfam family: Bacterial small subunit ribosomal RNA
Source: RNAcentral
AACUCAAAGGAUUUGACGGGGGCCUACAACAAGUGGUGGAGCAUGUGGUUUAAUGCGAUAAUCCGCGCAAAACCUUACCAACCUUUGACAUAUUAAAAAUUUUUAAUUAAUAAAAAUUAAAUUAAAAACUAUUUUUACAGGUGUUGCACGACUGUCGUCAGCUCGUGUCGUAAGAUGUUUGGUUUAUUCCUUUAACGAGCGCAACUCUUAUCUUUAAAAAGUUUUUAACUUACAAAAGUUUCGUGUAUAUGAGACUUUUUAAGGCUUUAAAAGAAACUAUCAAUGAUAAAUUGGAGGAAGGUGAGAAUUAAGUCAAGUCCCUGUGGCCCUUAUAGGUUGGGCUACACACGUGCUACAACGG